AAGCUGUGUUGGAGGCUCUCGAUGAGGCUGUUCUGGAGAAUCUCUGGAAGCUGCUCUUAAGCUGUGUUGGAGGCUCUCGAUGAGGCUGUUCUGGAGAAUCUCUGGAAGCUGCUCUUAAGUUGUACACAUGGGAGGGAAAACAUUAGCUCUAGCUAUGGGCUAAUAUUGGAGGAAGAAAGUCAAAGAAAGGACACAUAAAUCAAAGUGCUCCACUAGCCUUGCUUACCUUCCAUGGGAUAAUUAUAAGCUCCUUCUUUUGGAGAGAAAAUAUUGGGAUCUUUACAAGCUUUGAAGGUUGAAUGGAGAAAUUGGGUCCAAAAGGAGCCCUAUAUGUGUAGUGCCAUUUGGUAAUAAAGAAGGAUGUAGUCUCAUCUUUCAUAAGUCACAACUCAACUAUUUCGGUGCUUUUUUUUCUUCAUUGGAUGGUUUGAACAUCAACCAAUGGUGUG
This is a long non-coding RNA of Cucurbita moschata (crookneck pumpkin), 449 nucleotides long. RefSeq lists it as uncharacterized. The record is from RefSeq and is a predicted model, not a curated record. NCBI's taxonomy places the organism in Eukaryota, Viridiplantae, Streptophyta, Magnoliopsida, Cucurbitales, Cucurbitaceae. The transcript has 3 exons.